GCAGCCGCGGUAACACCGGCAGCUCUAGUGGUAACAAUUUUAUGGGCCUAAAGCGUCCCGGUAGCCGGUUUAAUAAGUCUCGUGGUGAAAUCAUGUAGCUUAACUGUGGGAAUUGCUGGAGAUACUAUUAGACUUGAGACCGGGCGAGGUUAGAGGUACUCCCAGGGUAGAGGUGAAAUUCUGUAAUCCUGGGAGGACCGCCUGUUGCGAAGGCGUCUAACUGGAACGGUUCUGACGGUGAGGGACGAAAGUUAGGGGCGCGAACCGGAUUAGAUACCCGGGUAGUCCUAACUGUAAACGAUGCGGACUUGGUGUUGGGGUGGCUUUGAGCUGCUCCAGUGCCGAAGGGGAGCUGUUAAGUCCGCCGCCUGGGAAGUACGGUCGCAAGACUGAACUUAAAGGAAUUGGCGGGGGAGCACCACAACGCGUGGAGCCUUGCGGUUUAAUUGGAUUCAACGCCGGACAUCUCACCAGAGGCGACAGCUGUAUGAUAGCCAGGUUGAUGACUUUGCUUGACUAGCUGAGGGGAGGUGCAUGG
Molecule: ribosomal RNA, 538 nt
Filed under: uncultured archaeon
Lineage: Archaea
Description: bacterial SSU rRNA
Rfam family: Archaeal small subunit ribosomal RNA
Source: RNAcentral